Molecule: ribosomal RNA, 207 nt
Filed under: uncultured bacterium
Lineage: Bacteria
Description: partial 16S ribosomal RNA
Rfam family: Bacterial small subunit ribosomal RNA
Source: RNAcentral
UUCGUAGGCGGUGUGGCAAGUCGGGAGUGAAAUCUCUGGGCUCAACCCAGAGACUGCUUCCGAAACUGCUGUGCUUGAGUGUGAGUGAGGCUCGUGGAAUUGCAGGUGUAGCGGUGAAAUGCGUAGAUAUCUGCAGGAACACCCGUAGCGAAAGCGGCGAGCUGGAUCACUACUGACGCUGAGGAACGAAAGCUAGGGGAGCAAACA